Molecule: long non-coding RNA, 608 nt
Organism: Oreochromis niloticus (Nile tilapia)
Lineage: Eukaryota; Metazoa; Chordata; Actinopteri; Cichliformes; Cichlidae
Exons: 5
Source: RefSeq, a predicted model, not a curated record
GCCAGUUUUUUCAGUGUUAGUUCCUAUUUUUGAAGCGUCAAACAAACAGUAUAUAAGCACUGAUUUUACUGCUGUUUAGCACCUUCUCACUGGACGGCUGAAGCUAUCGAGAUAUUAAAGAUCACCAUGAGGCUGCUGACCGUGUUUGUGUUUCUUUGUGUAAUGGUCCCUCUGAUCAUUACUGCUCAAAAAUUGGGCAGCAGUGGAGCAGAGGAUAAGCCACCAGAAGAGCAUCUUGUUGAGAAGAAAUGGCGGGGGAUUUGGCGCAGAGCUUUGACUCGCUAUGGAUACAGGAAAGAGAUGGACGAAUGAUAUGUACGGUCACCACUGAUACCGAUUUUGUCUGGGUCUGAAAAAGAAGAUGAUCCCUGGUCUUCCAUGAAAAGCCAUGGCCACCAGACAAAGAAGCAAAUCAUUUCAUCCAACUCCCUAAACUAUCAGUUUCCCUCUUAGAUCUUUACUUAUUUCCUUUCGCUGUACUGCUACAUAAUGAAUUUGGCAACAAGUGACACAAACUGGAGUGGACUGGACCGUGUCUUCUAAUAGCAAUAGCUGUUCAUUUCUGUUCUUAUUAUCUUCAUCAUUAAACUCUUAAGCAUUAAAUCAAA